CCUGAGAUGUCAGGCCCUGGUGGGUCUUACUGGGGAUUUCUGAGCUCCAAAGUUCUCAGCGUGUGGUGGGGUCUCCAAUUGUGGCCACGUGGGCAAAGUCGCCUGGGCAGUUCACAAUCUAAACUGUUGCAGGAUGGCAUGCAGAAUCAGGCUCAGGGCGGACCUGCUGUGCCCCCAGAGCAGAGGACUUUCAAGAGCGGGAACAUCAUUUAAGAGAGGAUGAGCAAGUCAGCCCUCCUUGGGACUCAGGGCUGCAUGGCAAAUGGAGGGGUGCGGUAAAGAGGUGAAGCCGGACCGAGCACCCCCUCCUUGGUGCCAAGGACGCCCCCAAUGCCCCAUGCGUACACACACCCUCACUUUGUUAGAGGAAAUGUGAUUAGUGGAUUUCAGGCUUCUUAAUGGGGCCUGAACCACUGCCCAUCUCCACACCUGAUCCGUAAAUAACUCCAGCACAUUCCCCACGGAGCCCGGUGCUGCCAGGAUCAAUCGGAAGAUUGGCAGAGGCUUCACUCAUCGGCUGACAGCUCCCGAGAGAGGCUGCUGGGGGCUGUGCACCCCGUGCCCACCAGGAGGGUCUCAUUAGCCGUGGUCCGAGUGAAAGGUCGGCACCCGUGGGUGGCUGUUCUCAAACCAGGCAGAGGAGAUGGGAGGGCAGCAUGUCCGCAUCCACAGCUGGGCCUCCUGGGCAGCAGGGAGGGCAGCUUGUCCGUGGCCUCCUCUCCUGGGUCCCCUGGGGCUGGGCAGGGCAGAGGCUCUGGGGCGUUUGCUGACUAGAUUAAUGAGAUGACUCAGGAAUGACAUACCGGUGGCCAGGAAAUGGCAUUGGUGACCUUUCUCCCAGUCACCUCCCCACCACCCAAGCCAGAAAUAAUUAGCUGCCCAUAGAAAGGGGACAUUUGUUGAAACAAGCUCUUCUGCCUUCUUAAAAAUAAUGAUAGUAAAUAAAACAAAAAUUAAAAAUAAUAAUCUUCUCUUAAAAAUAAACAAAAUAGUUUAUUGAGAACGCACUAACUCUGGAACUUGGGGAAACAGCCCCGUCCGGUUUCCUUAUCUUGAACUUGGCUGUGAGAUGGGACUAUCUCCUGCAGUUGUGAAUGUGGUUGGAUAAUAACGCCUGGAAAGGUCGUGCACAGAGGAAGACGCGGUGAGGAUAUGAAGGCAGGUCUGGGCGUCUCCACAGAGGCAGCCCAGCUCCGAAGCACGCCCCUGGUGUGACCAGGCUCCCCACCAUCUGCAGUGUCGGUUCUCCCACAUGGACCCAAGUUGCACUCAGGCUGUGGAAUAAACACCAGCUUCCAAGUCAGGCGGCCAGAGUCCAGAUCCCAAGGUUGUCAUUUCCUCCCCGUGUGACCUAGGGCAAGUGAGGGACCCUCUCUGUGCCUCUUCCCCGGUUGGUUAAGCACGGGGAGGAGAGCCGUCCCCCUCAGGAUGAAGAGAACCUAGGUGUGUGUGGCUCCUGGCAGAGGCCCCAUGCCCGCCGGUGGGCGCUCAGUCAACAUGGACCCUAUCCCUGGUGUCGAGGGUGCGCUGCCCUCCUCUCUCCACCGGCCCAGGAGCGGUGCCAGCCGCCCCAGGCUCAAGGCGGAGACCACCGAGCGGCCAGCCCUCCGCCUGGCGGGAGCUGCCUUCAGCCGGGUCACAUGGCACGCGCUGGGCCGUGCUGAGAGUCUGUCCAUCCCUGAGGAAGGCGUCUCCGUGCUUUCCCUUUUCGGAGCCUGUUUCUCACCUCUGCUGUUUUCACCUUUGUGCAGCAGAAGGUAUUUUCGCAAACGCAGCCGAGGUGGCAGCAAUUUCGCAGCCUGACAGGCGUCCCUGUACACACCGAUGCUAUUUGGGGGAUCCGCAGGUGUAUUGUUUGUAUCAUUAUGGGUCUGUCAACUCCCAGGGAGAGGGAAGAGAGGCUGGGUGCUGCCAGAGGCCCCCAAAGGCCCCGGAGCCCCCCUGUUCCACAGGCACCUCCCCCAGGAAGGCCUCCUGGCCCCCAGGCUCGCUCUGAGCAUGGCCCUGGGGUCUCCCAUUGCAAACCGCCCUUGUCCUCAGCACUAGUGCUCUGUCCCCUGCUCUAGGUCUCAGGCUUCCUAAGGACAGGGCCUAUGCCACCGUCCGUGUCCCCAGCACAGAGCAGGGCUGGGGAAGCAUCCACUGAGAUGAAUUAACACCCGGCGGGCUCUGCAAGUGCCCAGUGCUUCUGAGGUGCUUUCUCUACCUCCGAGCUGCUCUCUGCCCCCCAACAUCACCUGCCAGACUGGGGGUCUCUGUGCUGGCCGGGUGCUGGGGUCUGCGACACAAGAUGACCAGGAGACAGCAGGGCCUGGAGGUGGAGACCCAUGGGUCACAUGGGGGCUGCAGGAGCCCAGAUCAGCCUAGACUGGGGGACCCCAGAGGGCUUCCCAGCAGCGAGGAGUUUGGCCCGCCAUCCCCAGGCUGUGGAACGGGCUAGUCCCCAGCUCUCGCCGUUGCUACAAACAUGGAGCAGGCACAGUUAUGCCCCGAGGAUGCGCACAUAGUAGGGCUCAUCCAGGAUUUAAGUCCCUUCCCCUGGGGCUGGAAGGAGCACUGGCAAUUAGAUCUCCUUCCUUGUUUGAUGAAUAAGGAGACCAUGCCCAGAGAAGUCCAGGGACUAACGGGAGGUCACAGAGUCAUUGUCGGCAGAGCUCGGACACCAUCCACCUCCUGGCUCCCCUGUGCGCAGGCCCAGGCCCCCUGAGGGUCCCCAGGUUGUCUACACAGGUCAUCAAUGCCGCUCUUGCCUCCAGUGCUGACAAAGGGCAAUGGGGAGCCAGCAACAAGGUUCCUGCUGUCACGGAGCACAUGUCCUGCUGGGAGAGUGGACAGUAAACCAGCUAAGAGCUGGAGACGGGUGAUUGCAGGAAGACGAGAGGACAUGGAAUAGUGAAAAGUGUGCCGUGGGCCCAGAGAUAUUGGGUCUGGUAGUCAGGGUGGCCUCCCCAAGGGGAUGGAGUUGGAAUUGAGACUUGAGUGACAUGUUUGGAUCCAGGGGAAGGCAUCCAGGCAGAGGGAGCGGCUGAUGCAGAGGCCCUGGGGUCAAGGGAAGGAACGUGGCUUGCUCAGCGUGUAGCCAGAAGGCAACUCUCGCUGGGAUGUGGGCCCAGGGGAGGUGGCACAAGAUGAGGUCAGAGAUCGGGGUUCAGAGGCCCCAGGAGGACAGGAGCAGAUCACGAAGGCCAUGGGAGGAGUCUGGAUUCACUUGUGCAUCACAGAAGUCCAUGGUGCACAGUGUGGAGGGGGGAGCUGAGGCACGUCACGUCUCAUUGGACGGGUGUGCCAGGGCCUAGGGAGCUCUCUGACCUGGAGGAAGGAGGGCCCCCAAGAAAUGGGUGGCCAAUUAAAACAAUAAGGAUGCCAUCUCUGAUGGCCGUGAAGGCACUGGGGCUGCAGUGUGCAUGGCUCCUGUCACCAGCAUCCCAGAGGCCACUGCCAAGUAUCUCUUGCUGCGUGCUGGGGUCCACUCACAGGGGCCACCAACAGUGAGUUGGGUGAAGUCGCAGCAGCCUCUGAUGCUGCCUGGACCCCAAUGCCCCAAGGCAGGCCUGGCAGACACGGCACGAUUCCCACAGCACCCGGAAGGGGUCCCAGUUCCCCAAAUCCCUCCCCUACCCCCACCUCAUGCCUAAAACCUCUUUAAUGGAGGCAGGUUGAAUCACUGACUUUUUAAAAAAUCAUUUUAUCAUUUUUUUUUCUUUUGGUGAGGAAGACUGGCCCUGAGCUAACAUCUGUUACCAACCUCCCUCUUUUUGCUUGAGGAAGAUUGUGGCUGAGCCAACAUCUGUGCCACUCUUCCUCUGUUUUGUAUGUGGGACGUGCCUCAGCAUGGCCUGAUGAAUGGUGUGUAAGUCCGUGCCUGGGAUCCGAACCUGCGAACCCUGGGCCGCCAAAGAAGAGCAUGUGAACUUAACCAGCAUGCCACCAGGCCAGCCCCCAUUUUAUCCUUUUUAUUUAUUUAUUCUUGAUGACAAACAAUACUUUUUGCAUAAAUCUAAAAAAUAGAAGAAAAUAUGAAGAAACAAAAGAAAAAACAAUCCCCCAAAUCCUGAGGAUUUUCCCCCAGGGAAGUUCACACCAUUUCAGCAAGGGGGUCCAGCUCUGGGAAACGCUGACUUUUACACCCUGAAGUCGAGGGAUGCUGGCGUAAGAUCUCCCUUAAGAGUCAAGUUCAAGGCUCCACCAUAUCCAGGUGAGCACUGAGUGAAGGUGAGCUGGUCGUGUUUGUCUCCAUCCCGAGCCUUGAACUGACUCUCGUAAGCUACUGUCGCUUCUCCAAAUGCAGGGCCACCAGUGACCCCCAAAUAAAGUCCUGGGGAAUUCUGAACCCAGCAGAGCUGAGGCGGCAGCAGGAAAAUCAGGGCAUCAGAGAGAAGGAGAGGGAGGUGGAGGAGCAGAGAAGGAUGGAGGGCAUCUCAACAUCUGCUGCUUGAGGGACCCAGACUAACACAGAGGCUUCCAGCAACCAGAUGUGAGCCCCCAAAGAACUGACAAAGAAAACUCACAGCAUCCCAGGAGGCUCAGAGCCAGGCAGGAGGGGCACAGUUAACCCUGAAUGAGAGCGAGCAACCAGUAUCCUAUCCGUUUCUGAACCAAUCGGGAUGGGAGAGAUUAUACAGCAUGUUAUGGACUGAAUGUUAGCGUCCUCUCCAAAUUCAUAUAUUGGAGCCCUAACCCCCCAAUGUGAUGGUAUUUGGAGGUGGGCCCUUUGGGAUGUGAUCAGGUUUCCAUGAGGUCAUGAUGGUGGGGCCUCCAUGAUGGGAUUAGAGAUCUUUUAUAGAAGAGAAAGAAACCAGAGCUCUUUGUGUGUGUGUGUGUGUGUGUGUGUGUGUGUGUGUGGUGUGUGUGUGUGUCUCUGCCAUGUGAAGACCCAAAGAGAAGGGGGCCAUCUGCAGGAUGAGAGCCCUCACCAGGUACCAGAUCUGCUGGCAUCCCGAUCUUGGACUUCCCAGCCUCCAGAUCUAUGAGAAAUAAAUGUCUGUUAUUUAACCCUCCCUGUCGGUGACAUUUUGUUAUAGCAGCCUGAGUUGACUAAGACAUAGGAGUACCAAAAUCUUUUUUAAUUAAAAAAAUCAGUGGCCUAAAAUUACGAAGGCUUAUUUCUUGCUCGUGUGAGUUGAUAGGUAGCUCUGCUCACCGAGGUCCCUUUAAGACCCAGGCUGACAGACUGUCCCCCCGCCAUGGGCUCCCAUGAUCCCUGACAGGGAAAGGGAACUUGAUACAUCUCACCACGGUCCGGAAAUUUCCUACCCAGAAAUGUCCUACACCAUUUCUGAACACAUCGUGUUGGCCAAAGCAUGCCAUACGGCCAAGCCUGGGACUUCAGUCCAACCUCAAGCCCAGCAAAGACCUUCACCCAAGAAUCCUGUCCUCAGACAAGCUCUCACUCACCUGUGAAGGCGAAAGGAAGGCAUUUGUGAGAGCACCUCCUGAAUCCUUGUCUGUCCACUGCAUCCCUCCUUAGGAAAAGACUCAAGAGAGGACUCAAACCCAAGAAUAAAUGAGACAGAACAGAGCUCACAAAAUGAAGAAAGAUGAAAAGGGAAAGACUUGGUGGCGGCCGCCAUCUUGCUGUGUGCUCACAUGACCUCUUCUUUGUGUACCCACUGGAGAGAGGAACCGGAGAGAGAGAGCUCCAGUGUGUCUUCUGCCAUGUCUUUGACAAUUCUCAUCACCUGGACCUGAAUCGAACAUCUCAAUUUUUGGAGAAAGGCAUAGAAUUAAGUUUCCACUGCCCAGAAACCCGUGGAGAUUUGGGACGAAAGUGGGUUCCUCCACAAAGGAUGUGUUUCCUUCUGUAAGAUGUCUGGUAUGUGUUGGGGGGUACUAUGUGUCUAGGACCACUUUCAAAUUAAUGACUGAUUCGAGGUUUGGGGGAGGCAUUUAAGGACAGUGACUUGGGACUGCAGAUUCAUGGGGGGGCCAAUUUGGGUUGGAAUCAAAGGGUUGACACAGGGAAGUUUUACUUCCACUCUCUAAGUAGGGUCUGGGGUAUUUUCAGUUCACACUUUACUAAGGGCGUAAUCCUCUGAGGUCCCACAUUAAUGGGGAGCCAUCUCCUAUUACCUUCCCCACCCGGUGGGUCCUGAGAUCUUUCUUCCUCCUUCCAGUUUUGUAAGACUGCAACAACGAUGCUCUUGCUUUGGCAAAACGCCUCAAAGUCAAAGUUGGCAUCAAACCUCUCUGGAUUUUGCCUUCCCACAGGUACUGGGUGAGUAUUUCUCACUUUUCUACCAGCCCAUGGGCGCACUUGCAAAUGCAUUUUUGAUAUAAUUACUGUCAUUUUUAGUUGUUUUCAGUAAGAGGCUUCAUCUGGGCCCCUAGUCCAUCAUGUUGACACCCUCUUUUGAUCUUUAUUUAUUAUUUGUCUUAAUCUCUUAAG
Equus caballus (horse) is the source of this 6385-nucleotide long non-coding RNA. The record is from Ensembl. Lineage: Eukaryota; Metazoa; Chordata; Mammalia; Perissodactyla; Equidae.